GAAAUGCGAUACGUAAUGCGAAUUGCAGAAUUCAGUGAAUCAUCAAAUCUUUGAACGCAAAUGGCGCUCUCGGGAAUCCCUGGGAGCACGCCUCUUUGAGUAUCAGUUCUACCUCAUCUCGACAGCGUGCUGAAAAGCAAAGUGCGUCGGAUAAUGAGUGUCUCAGUUCUUCGGACUGCGUCACUUUAAAUACAGAGAUAAGUUUGGCUUACCCAUUUCAAUUGGGGGCUGACGCAAGAUAAUUCACUCGCAAGAGUGUUUAACAACCUUCGUCACCUCUGAGGGCUAGUUUUAAACUUUGAUCAAAACAACCUUUUUCAGAAUAAGAUCUCAAAUGAAGCGAGAUUACCCGCCGAAUUUAA
RNAcentral lists this unclassified non-coding RNA (362 nucleotides) under uncultured fungus. Its description in RNAcentral is "sequence contains ITS1". The stretch from base 1 to 105 matches the Rfam family "5.8S ribosomal RNA", at positions 50 to 154 of the family's 154-position model. Lineage: Eukaryota; Fungi. The record is from RNAcentral.